GGUGUCUAUAGCCUGUCCCUGCAGGCUUUUUAAUCUAAACACACACUGUGUGCAGCACUGGUGUUAGUUCAUAUGGCAGAUCAUAUGGGUGGGGCAUUGUGAUGUCACAUGGGGGGGCGGCAAAUUUUUCUUUUGCCUAGGGCGGCAAAAAUCCUUGCACCGGCUCUGUGUAUAGAUUACAUUUUUAUGCCAACCUAAACAGACAGACAGGUUUAUUCACUACAGUGUCAAUUGACAACAUUUCAAAGUUAAUUUAACCGUUUGGCCAAAAUAAGGAAACUGUAAAUCCUCCAACAGUUUUCACUGAAGUCAAAAGUUACCUACUAAGCCCUCAUUGAACACUUUUCUAACAACCUACUUCGUACCCCUACUUUUACCCUUUGUGUCACUAUAGAAACUGUUAAUAGCUCCCGACUGAUUUCUCUCAUGCAACUGUCAUUAGUCUAAUACUAUCCUUACCUUUUGUGUCACUUUAC
Molecule: non-coding RNA, 476 nt
Organism: Pelobates cultripes (western spadefoot toad)
Lineage: Eukaryota; Metazoa; Chordata; Amphibia; Anura; Pelobatidae
Source: the annotation of a GenBank genome assembly